AUCCUUCCAGCUGAAAAGUAAAAUAAGACAAACAGAGUUUUUCCUAUGAAUUCUGUACAAUUGGAUUGUAUAAUAAACAUGUAGCAAGUGCCUAGCAUAUGCAGAGUGAGAAGCAAUGAGUUUUAACAGAGAGAUAAAUAGCUUUCAUAAUAGGAAUAUGUGGAUUCUGGUCCUUCAUGACAAAUACUAGCUCUGUGAUUAGGAACAAAUCAUGUAAACUCCCCCCAGUCACCUGUUUAGAGUAUAAAUCACAUAUAAAAUUUCAAUCUUCAUCAGCAAAGCCAAGGAAGUUUUUAUAAUAGGUGCUCCUUAUAUGGAUGAAACCUCGGGUCUCAAAAAGCAAAAUAUGCAGGCAUUGUGCCACAUUCAAAGACUAUUAAGACAGGAUUAAGAAAGCCCUUAUCCUCAAAGGAAUUUAAUGAUUAAUGAGGUGACUCCAAAAUGCAUGAGUCAAGGAUGUACAGAACAUCUCCUUUUAAGCUUUGAGAACUUAAAAGUUUACUAAGAUUUUUGGAACAUCCUGCAUGGAGUAUUUAGAGAGUAAUAUAAAAUAUUUAGAGAGUAAUAUAAAAUAAUUCAGGGGGUGAAGAGAGAGAGAGGGUGGGGGCUGGGAGGAAAGGGGAAGGAGAGAGUUAACUGAAUAAAAAAGUCACAGAAAGAGCAUAAAGAAGAAAAAUAAUAUAAUAUAAGACUCUAAGGAUAGUUAAUAAGAACUUUAAUGCUGUGAAGGGUUUUAAGGACAGGCUGAGUUGCUAUUUCAUCCAAUAAGCAGAAUCUUUGAGUGAAGAGUAUAAUAUAUCUCAUAUAAACAAGAGUAAGGGAAUUGAGAAGAGGCAAACUGCAGCAAGAGGAGGAAAAAGAAAAAGAGAAGGAGGAAGAGGAGGAGGAGGAAAUAAGGAGGAGGAAAAGGAAAAGAAGAAGGGGAGGAGAAGGGAAGAAGCGAAGGAAAGAGUAGUAACUCAUUUUACAGAUGAAGAAAGUGAAGCAAACAAUGUUGUGACUUAUCCAGGAUCAUAUAUCUGCAAAUGAUUCUCACCACUGGAUUAAAGAGAGGCAUGCUUCAAAAGAAAUUCAAGAUAAGAAAAGUGCGAUCUUCUGGCUCCCACUUCAGUAUUCUUCAAUAUUGUACUCUUCAACACAAUGGUCUUCAAAAUAAAAAUACACAGCCUUCCUCAUAAUCACGGUUUAUCAAAUGCAGAGCAUAUUCCAAGCUUUAAUUUCCUUUCUGUUAGGCUAAUUCCUUCAACCACACAGAGAAAUCAUAAAUAGACUGUUCAGAAAGAAGGAAAGAAAGAAACCACUGAAAGAGUCUUGUUACCUUCUCAGCCAUGGCUUCUCCCUCAACUUUUCCUUCUCCUUCCACUCACUGUAAUCACCUGCCUGUCACCUCACUGAGUAUAAGUGAGUGGAUAACCCAGGGUGUCUAUUUUGCUUCUUUUUUCCUUUCUUUUUGGUGUUCAACAUUGCUAUUCAUUCUUCAUCAGAAUACAUAUAUAAUCUAUAAUUAGAUUCCUUUGACUUCAGAAUCCUAGAUUCUUUGAUACUGUAGUGAUUGAUUUUACUCCACUGAUGAAUGCCCAGAAUGGGUGAAACAUGCCCAGGAAUGUGCUGGUAAAUAUUUAACAAUUGUUUCUCUUGGGGGGAGGGGAGAAAUAUACUCAGAAAACAUUUUAAAAAUUAAUCUUCAUUAUUAUCAUUUUUCUUCAUCACUUUCUUUAGUCUAGACAAUCAUCAAGGCAAUAAAUUAAACCUUGAUUUGGAGUACUUGCUGGUUUACCAGGUGCAAAAACCCACACUGAAAAUUUAACAAUCAACUUUUUACUGUAGUCAGCUCCAAUACAACCAUAAGUAUGCCUUUCUGGGUAAAAGGGAGAUGCAAAAAAAAAAAAAAAAAAAGCAGACAGGAAAAAAGUAGGGAUAAAAAAUGUCAGAGAGCAGAUCAGAAAAAGAUUAUGAACUGGAAUAAAUAGACAACAUCACUAGACUCUCACUGGUCUAUUUCACAAAUGUCCUUCCUUUUGAUGUUAUUGAUAUACUCUAAUCAUGCUAAAAAUAAUUAGUCAGC
This is a long non-coding RNA of Antechinus flavipes (yellow-footed antechinus), 2065 nucleotides long. RefSeq lists it as uncharacterized. The record is from RefSeq and is a predicted model, not a curated record. The transcript is spliced from 4 exons. NCBI's taxonomy places the organism in Eukaryota, Metazoa, Chordata, Mammalia, Dasyuromorphia, Dasyuridae.